RNAcentral lists this unclassified non-coding RNA (525 nucleotides) under Zea mays. Its description in RNAcentral is "misc RNA Zm00001eb312780". The record is from RNAcentral. Lineage: Eukaryota; Viridiplantae; Streptophyta; Magnoliopsida; Poales; Poaceae.
GUGCAUAGGGAGCAGCAGAGCCGAGCUGGGCGACUGAACGAAAUCCGGGCGCCGAGCACGGAGGUUCCAGGGAGCAGGCGCGGUCUAGAGGAGGAAGAUGGGCACCAGGGAGCGAGCAGGGCGCCGGCGCGCGCGCACAGCAGGGAGAAGACGAGCAGAGAGAUGGCCGGCAGCGCUGGGAGGAGGCUGAGCGCCAUUGGGCAUCAGCACCAGGAAAAUCGAGUGUGUGAGCCAAGGGAGAAGCAGGAUCGCGCAACGGACUUCGAACGGCUUGGGGUUGAAGUACACAUCGAUCUCGCGCAACACGAAGUCCUCCUCCAUCGUGUCCUCCGAUGGUGGCGCGGCAUUGGCAUCGGGCUCCGGCUUGGGUACGGCCACUGGUACGGGUCUAGGAGGCUCAGCCUUCGGCCUGGGCAUUGGGGCUGGGCGCGCACGGCCACCAGAGCACGGCGCAGGGAGCUGGGCGCCAGAGCUGGAAGGAGGCAGGGCGCACAGAGGAAAAAGCAGAGGAGGCGCUGGGAAGUG